UACAGAGGGUGGAAGCGUUAAUCGGAAUUACUGGGCGUAAAGCGUGCGUAGUCGGUUAUCUAAGUCGGAUGUGAAAUCCCCGGGCUCAACCUGGGAAUUGCAUUCGAUACUGGAUAGCUAGAGUUCGGCAGAGGGAAGUGGAAUUUCCGGUGUAGCGGUGAAAUGCGUAGAUAUCGGAAGGAACAUCAGUGGCGAAAGCGGCAUCCUGGACCGAUACUGACGCUGAGGAGCGAAAGCCAGGGGAGCAAACGGG
Molecule: ribosomal RNA, 253 nt
Filed under: uncultured bacterium
Lineage: Bacteria
Description: partial 16S ribosomal RNA
Rfam family: Bacterial small subunit ribosomal RNA
Source: RNAcentral